RNAcentral lists this non-coding RNA (121 nucleotides) under Flavihumibacter solisilvae. Its description in RNAcentral is "TPP sequence". It matches the Rfam family "TPP riboswitch aptamer (THI element)". Rfam says of the family: Vitamin B(1) in its active form thiamin pyrophosphate (TPP) is an essential coenzyme that is synthesised by coupling of pyrimidine and thiazole moieties in bacteria. Lineage: Bacteria; Pseudomonadati; Bacteroidota; Chitinophagia; Chitinophagales; Chitinophagaceae. The record is from Rfam by way of RNAcentral.
UCACUAUUUAUGGGGUGGUUUAAUAAUAAACUGACUUUAGGUUAGUUUGUUCAGACCUGAGAUAACACCCAUACUACCUGAUCAGGGUAAUGCCUGCGAAGGAAAAAAUAGUGAACAGGUA